Molecule: RNase P RNA, 387 nt
Filed under: Actinobacillus seminis
Lineage: Bacteria; Pseudomonadati; Pseudomonadota; Gammaproteobacteria; Pasteurellales; Pasteurellaceae
Description: RNase P RNA component class A
Rfam family: Bacterial RNase P class A
About the family: Ribonuclease P (RNase P) is a ubiquitous endoribonuclease, found in archaea, bacteria and eukarya as well as chloroplasts and mitochondria.
Source: RNAcentral
UGAGUUAGUCAGACAAUCGCUGGUUUAUUGAAGCCCUUAACCGUCAUAAGACGACCUGCGGGACAAGUAAACGAGAGGAAAGUCCGGGCUACAUAGGGCAGAGUGCCGGAUAACGUCCGGGGGGCGUGAGCCUACGACCAGUGCAGCAGAGAGCAAACCGCCGAUGGCUCAAUUGAGAUCAGGUAAGGGUGAAAGGGUGCGGUAAGAGCGCACCGCGUGCGUGGUAACAUGUCAUGGCAGGGUAAACUCCACUCGUAGCAAGACCAAAUAGGAAUCCAACGAGUUGCCCGCUUGGGAUUCGGGUAGGUUGCUUGAGCGUAUGUGUAAAUGUACGUCUAGAGGAAUGAUUGUCCACGACAGAACCCGGCUUAUCGACUAACUCAUUAA